This 503-nucleotide ribosomal RNA is filed under the name uncultured bacterium. RNAcentral's name for it is "bacterial SSU rRNA". It matches the Rfam family "Bacterial small subunit ribosomal RNA", at positions 1 to 507 of the family's 1533-position model. The record is from RNAcentral.
ACGAGUUUGAUCCUGGCUCAGGAUGAACGCUAGCGGGAGGCUUAAUACAUGCAAGUCGAGGGGUAACAUGAGAGCUUGCUCUUGAUGACGACCGGCGCACGGGUGAGUAACGCAUACACAACCUACCUCUAAGUGGGGAAUAGCCUUUGGAAACGAAGAGUAAUACCCCAUAGCAUUAUUUCUUUUAUGAUGAAAUAAUUAAAGCUCCGGCGCUUAGAGAUGGGUGUGCGUCCCAUUAGCUUGUGGUAAGGUAACGGCUUACCAAGGCGACGAUGGGUAGGGGGCGUGAGAGCGUGACCCCCCACACGGGUACUGAGACACGGACCCGACUCCUACGGGAGGCAGCAGUAAGGAAUAUUGGACAAUGGGCGAAAGCCUGAUCCAGCCAUCCCGCGUGCAGGAUGACGGCCCUAUGGGUUGUAAACUGCUUUUAGAUAGGAAGAAACCCCCAUUCGUGAGUGGGGCUGACGGUACUAUCAGAAUAAGCACCGGCUAACUCCGUG